AUUGGCGUAUAUUAAAGUUGUUGCGGUUAAAAAGCUCGUAGUUGGAUCUGUGUAUCGGACGGUCGGUUCGCCGCUCGCGGCGUUUAACUGACCGUUUCCGGACGUCCUGCCGGUGGUCUUGGUCCCGCAAGGGUCCUCGGCCGUUCCCUCCCUCCGGGCUUCUCUUAACCGGGUGGCCCGGUGGGCCGGCACGUUUACUUUGAACAAAUUUGAGUGCUCAAAGCAGGCCUACAGACGCCUGAAAACUGUGUGCAUGGAAUAAUGGAAUAGGACCUCUUUUCUAUUUUGUUGGCUUUUCUGAAACAGAGGUAAUGAUUAAUAGGGACAGACGGGGGCAUUCGUAUUGCGACGUUAGAGGUGAAAUUCUUGGAUCGUCGCAAGACGGACGGAUGCGAAAGCGUUUGCCAAGAAUGUUUUCGCUAAUCAAGAACGAAAGUUAGAGGUUCGAAGGCGAUCAGAUACCGCCCUAGUUCUAACCAUAAACGAUGCCAGCCAGCGAUGCGCCGAAGUUCCUCCGAUGACUCGGCGCGCAGCUUCCGGGAAACCAAAGCUUUUGGGUUCC
Molecule: ribosomal RNA, 562 nt
Filed under: Leptohyphes ecuador
Lineage: Eukaryota; Metazoa; Arthropoda; Insecta; Ephemeroptera; Leptohyphidae
Description: SSU rRNA
Rfam family: Eukaryotic small subunit ribosomal RNA
Source: RNAcentral